Molecule: ribosomal RNA, 160 nt
Filed under: uncultured eukaryote
Lineage: Eukaryota
Description: partial 18S ribosomal RNA
Rfam family: Eukaryotic small subunit ribosomal RNA
Source: RNAcentral
UGGUGGAGUGAUUUGUCUGGUUAAUUCCGAUAACGAACGAGACUCUGUCCUGCUAACUAGUUUCGUCGGCGCGAGGUCCUCUGGUCCUCUCCUCUCCGGCGGAAACAUAUCUUCUUAGAGGGACUGGCGGCGUCUAGCCGCACGAGAUAGAGCAAUAACA